This 459-nucleotide ribosomal RNA is filed under the name uncultured bacterium. RNAcentral's name for it is "partial 16S ribosomal RNA". It matches the Rfam family "Bacterial small subunit ribosomal RNA", at positions 338 to 795 of the family's 1533-position model. The record is from RNAcentral.
CCUACGGGAGGCAGCAGUGAGGAAUAUUGGUCAAUGGGCGGGAGCCUGAACCAGCCAAGCCGCGUGAGGGAAGAAGGUACAGCGUAUCGUAAACCUCUUUUGUCAGGGAACAAAGGCGGGGACUAGUCCCCGGAUGAGGGUACCUGAAGAAAAAGCAUCGGCUAACUCCGUGCCAGCAGCCGCGGUAAUACGGAGGAUGCGAGCGUUAUCCGGAUUUAUUGGGUUUAAAGGGUGCGCAGGGGGCCUGUUAAGUCAGCGGUAAAAGGUCGGGGCUAAACCCCGACGUGCCGUUGAAACUGGCAGGCUGGAGUACAGUAGAGGUGCGCGGAAUGCGCGGUGUAGCGGUGAAAUGCUUAGAUAUCACGAAGAACCCCGAUUGCGAAGGCAGCUCACCGGAUCGCAACUGACACUGAGGCACGAAAGCGUGGGUAUCAAACAGGAUUAGAUACCCUUGUAGUC